GGUUAAGCGACUAAGCGUACACGGUGGAUGCCCUGGCAGUCAGAGGCGAUGAAGGACGUGCUAAUCUGCGAUAAGCGUCGGUAAGGUGAUAUGAACCGUUAUAACCGGCGAUUUCCGAAUGGGGAAACCCAGUGUGUUUCGACACACUAUCAUUAACUGAAUCCAUAGGUUAAUGAGGCGAACCGGGGGAACUGAAACAUCUAAGUACCCCGAGGAAAAGAAAUCAACCGAGAUUCCCCCAGUAGCGGCGAGCGAACGGGGAGGAGCCCAGAGCCUGAAUCAGUGUGUGUGUUAGUGGAAGCGUCUGGAAAGGCGCGCGAUACAGGGUGACAGCCCCGUACACAAAAAUGCACAUGCUGUGAGCUCGAUGAGUAGGGCGGGACACGUGGUAUCCUGUCUGAAUAUGGGGGGACCAUCCUCCAAGGCUAAAUACUCCUGACUGACCGAUAGUGAACCAGUACCGUGAGGGAAAGGCGAAAAGAACCCCGGCGAGGGGAGUGAAAAAGAACCUGAAACCGUGUACGUACAAGCAGUGGGAGCACGCUUAGGCGUGUGACUGCGUACCUUUUGUAUAAUGGGUCAGCGACUUAUAUUCUGUAGCAAGGUUAACCGAAUAGGGGAGCCGAAGGGAAACCGAGUCUUAACUGGGCGUUAAGUUGCAGGGUAUAGACCCGAAACCCGGUGAUCUAGCCAUGGGCAGGUUGAAGGUUGGGUAACACUAACUGGAGGACCGAACCGACUAAUGUUGAAAAAUUAGCGGAUGACUUGUGGCUGGGGGUGAAAGGCCAAUCAAACCGGGAGAUAGCUGGUUCUCCCCGAAAGCUAUUUAGGUAGCGCCUCGUGAACUCAUCUCCGGGGGUAGAGCACUGUUUCGGCAAGGGGGUCAUCCCGACUUACCAACCCGAUGCAAACUGCGAAUACCGGAGAAUGUUAUCACGGGAGACACACGGCGGGUGCUAACGUCCGUCGUGAAGAGGGAAACAACCCAGACCGCCAGCUAAGGUCCCAAAGUCAUGGUUAAGUGGGAAACGAUGUGGGAAGGCCCAGACAGCCAGGAUGUUGGCUUAGAAGCAGCCAUCAUUUAAAGAAAGCGUAAUAGCUCACUGGUCGAGUCGGCCUGCGCGGAAGAUGUAACGGGGCUAAACCAUGCACCGAAGCUGCGGCAGCGACGCUUAUGCGUUGUUGGGUAGGGGAGCGUUCUGUAAGCCUGUGAAGGUGUACUGUGAGGUAUGCUGGAGGUAUCAGAAGUGCGAAUGCUGACAUAAGUAACGAUAAAGCGGGUGAAAAGCCCGCUCGCCGGAAGACCAAGGGUUCCUGUCCAACGUUAAUCGGGGCAGGGUGAGUCGACCCCUAAGGCGAGGCCGAAAGGCGUAGUCGAUGGGAAACAGGUUAAUAUUCCUGUACUUGGUGUUACUGCGAAGGGGGGACGGAGAAGGCUAUGUUGGCCGGGCGACGGUUGUCCCGGUUUAAGCGUGUAGGCUGGUUUUCCAGGCAAAUCCGGAAAAUCAAGGCUGAGGCGUGAUGACGAGGCACUACGGUGCUGAAGCAACAAAUGCCCUGCUUCCAGGAAAAGCCUCUAAGCAUCAGGUAACAUCAAAUCGUACCCCAAACCGACACAGGUGGUCAGGUAGAGAAUACCAAGGCGCUUGAGAGAACUCGGGUGAAGGAACUAGGCAAAAUGGUGCCGUAACUUCGGGAGAAGGCACGCUGAUAUGUAGGUGAAGCGACUUGCUCGUGGAGCUGAAAUCAGUCGAAGAUACCAGCUGGCUGCAACUGUUUAUUAAAAACACAGCACUGUGCAAACACGAAAGUGGACGUAUACGGUGUGACGCCUGCCCGGUGCCGGAAGGUUAAUUGAUGGGGUUAGCGCAAGCGAAGCUCUUGAUCGAAGCCCCGGUAAACGGCGGCCGUAACUAUAACGGUCCUAAGGUAGCGAAAUUCCUUGUCGGGUAAGUUCCGACCUGCACGAAUGGCGUAAUGAUGGCCAGGCUGUCUCCACCCGAGACUCAGUGAAAUUGAACUCGCUGUGAAGAUGCAGUGUACCCGCGGCAAGACGGAAAGACCCCGUGAACCUUUACUAUAGCUUGACACUGAACAUUGAGCCUUGAUGUGUAGGAUAGGUGGGAGGCUUAGAAGUGUGGACGCCAGUCUGCAUGGAGCCGACCUUGAAAUACCACCCUUUAAUGUUUGAUGUUCUAACGUUGACCCGUAAUCCGGGUUGCGGACAGUGUCUGGUGGGUAGUUUGACUGGGGCGGUCUCCUCCUAAAGAGUAACGGAGGAGCACGAAGGUUGGCUAAUCCUGGUCGGACAUCAGGAGGUUAGUGCAAUGGCAUAAGCCAGCUUGACUGCGAGCGUGACGGCGCGAGCAGGUGCGAAAGCAGGUCAUAGUGAUCCGGUGGUUCUGAAUGGAAGGGCCAUCGCUCAACGGAUAAAAGGUACUCCGGGGAUAACAGGCUGAUACCGCCCAAGAGUUCAUAUCGACGGCGGUGUUUGGCACCUCGAUGUCGGCUCAUCACAUCCUGGGGCUGAAGUAGGUCCCAAGGGUAUGGCUGUUCGCCAUUUAAAGUGGUACGCGAGCUGGGUUUAGAACGUCGUGAGACAGUUCGGUCCCUAUCUGCCGUGGGCGCUGGAGAACUGAGGGGGGCUGCUCCUAGUACGAGAGGACCGGAGUGGACGCAUCACUGGUGUUCGGGUUGUCAUGCCAAUGGCACUGCCCGGUAGCUAAAUGCGGAAGAGAUAAGUGCUGAAAGCAUCUAAGCACGAAACUUGCCCCGAGAUGAGUUCUCCCUGACCCUUUAAGGGUCCUGAAGGAACGUUGAAGACGACGACGUUGAUAGGCCGGGUGUGUAAGCGCAGCGAUGCGUUGAGCUAACCGGUACUAAUGAACCGUGAGGCUUAACCUU
RNAcentral lists this ribosomal RNA (2904 nucleotides) under Escherichia coli. Its description in RNAcentral is "23S ribosomal RNA". It matches the Rfam family "Bacterial large subunit ribosomal RNA". The record is from RNAcentral. Lineage: Bacteria; Pseudomonadati; Pseudomonadota; Gammaproteobacteria; Enterobacterales; Enterobacteriaceae.